RNAcentral lists this long non-coding RNA (351 nucleotides) under Nicotiana benthamiana. RNAcentral describes it as "long non-coding RNA (NBEN_LNC009921)". Lineage: Eukaryota; Viridiplantae; Streptophyta; Magnoliopsida; Solanales; Solanaceae. The record is from RNAcentral.
AAAAAUAAUUGAGGGAUUUUUGAGUCUUGGACUGCAAAUCCCAAGGUCACCUGUUUUCUACUGCUGCUAAUUUAAUACUGCGAAUUCAGAGAACUCAUUUACUCCUCAUAUGAAAUUCAUUUAUUGUAAGUGUGGGAGUCAGUCCUCAAAUUAAUUGUUUUUUCAAGAAAGAACAAUAAUUACGCCAGUGAGAAAUGGAGAAUCAGAGACCCGAUCGAGGCUAUAGACUCCAGAGAUCGUUGGCGCUCCAGCAUACUAAUCUAAAAAGUCUUCACUUUCUUAUCCAAUCCCUACGCUAGACGCCGUUGCCGCGCAGCAACUUCACAAUGCAUAUCUUGUUUCAAACUUUAC